AGAGUUUGAUCCUGGCUCAGGAUGAACGCUGGCGGCGUGCUUAACACAUGCAAGUCGAACGAACCUUCGGGUUAGUGGCGGACGGGUGAGUAACGCGUGAGAAUCUGCCCUCAGGAGGGGGAUAACGGCUGGAAACGGCCGCUAAUACCCCAUAUGCCGAGAGGUGAAAUGAAUUUCGCCUGAGGAUGAGCUCGCGUCUGAUUAGCUAGUUGGUGUGGUAAAGGCUCACCAAGGCAUCGAUCAGUAGCUGGUCUGAGAGGAUGAUCAGCCACACUGGGACUGAGACACGGCCCAGACUCCUACGGGAGGCAGCAGUGGGGAAUUUUCCGCAAUGGGCGCAAGCCUGACGGAGCAACGCCGCGUGAGGGAUGAAGGCCUCUGGGCUGUAAACCUCUUUUAUCAAGGAAGAAGAUCUGACGGUACUUGAUGAAUAAGCCACGGCUAAUUCCGUGCCAGCAGCCGCGGUAAUACGGGAGUGGCAAGCGUUAUCCGGAAUUAUUGGGCGUAAAGCGUCCGCAGGCGGUCUUGAAAGUCUGUUGUUAAAGCGUGGAGCUCAACUCCAUUUCAGCAAUGGAAACUAGAAGACUAGAGUGUGGUAGGGGCAGAGGGAAUUCCCGGUGUAGCGGUGAAAUGCGUAGAUAUCGGGAAGAACACCAGUGGCGAAGGCGCUCUGCUGGGCCAUAACUGACGCUCAUGGACGAAAGCCAGGGGAGCGAAAGGGAUUAGAUACCCCUGUAGUCCUGGCCGUAAACGAUGAACACUAGGUGUCGGGGGAAUCGACCCCCUCGGUGUCGUAGCCAACGCGUUAAGUGUUCCGCCUGGGGAGUACGCACGCAAGUGUGAAACUCAAAGGAAUUGACGGGGGCCCGCACAAGCGGUGGAGUAUGUGGUUUAAUUCGAUGCAACGCGAAGAACCUUACCUGGGUUUGACAUCCUGCGAAUCCCUUGGAAACUUGGGAGUGCCUUCGGGAGCGCAGUGACAGGUGGUGCAUGGCUGUCGUCAGCUCGUGUCGUGAGAUGUUGGGUUAAGUCCCGCAACGAGCGCAACCCACGUCUUUAGUUGCCAGCAUUAAGUUGGGCACUCUAGAGAGACUGCCGGUGAUAAACCGGAGGAAGGUGUGGAUGACGUCAAGUCAUCAUGCCCCUUACAUCCUGGGCUACACACGUACUACAAUGCUACGGACAAAGGGCAGCAAACUCGCGAGAGCUAGCAAAUCCCAUAAACCGUGGCUCAGUUCAGAUCGUAGGCUGCAACUCGCCUACGUGAAGGAGGAAUCGCUAGUAAUCGCAGGUCAGCAUACUGCGGUGAAUACGUUCCCGGGCCUUGUACACACCGCCCGUCACACCAUGGAAGUUGGCCACGCCCGAAGUCGUUACUCCAACCCGCAAGGGAGGAGGAUGCCGAAGGUGGGGCUGAUGACUGGGGUGAAGUCGUAACAAGGUA
RNAcentral lists this ribosomal RNA (1444 nucleotides) under metagenome. Its description in RNAcentral is "bacterial SSU rRNA". It matches the Rfam family "Bacterial small subunit ribosomal RNA". The record is from RNAcentral.